AGCUUUGUGCAGUGGCAAUAUUGUAGCCAAAGAGUUUUAUCCAAGGCAUGAUUAUUGCUAAUUGAAAAA
This 69-nucleotide small nuclear RNA is filed under the name Myotis davidii. Its description in RNAcentral is "U4 spliceosomal RNA". It matches the Rfam family "U4 spliceosomal RNA", at positions 1 to 69 of the family's 138-position model. From Rfam's summary of the family: U4 small nuclear RNA (U4 snRNA) is a component of the major U2-dependent spliceosome. The record is from Rfam by way of RNAcentral. Lineage: Eukaryota; Metazoa; Chordata; Mammalia; Chiroptera; Vespertilionidae.